Molecule: long non-coding RNA, 828 nt
Filed under: Physeter macrocephalus (sperm whale)
Lineage: Eukaryota; Metazoa; Chordata; Mammalia; Artiodactyla; Physeteridae
Description: Physeter catodon (sperm whale) lncRNA (ENSPCTG00005006195.1)
Source: RNAcentral
CGGCCAUGGCUCACGGGCCCAGCCGCUCCGCGGCAUGUGGGAUCCUCCCAGACCGGGGCGCGAACCCGGUUCCCCUGCAUCGGCAGGCUGACGCGCAACUACUGCGCCACCAGGGAAGCCCUGUGUUUUUUUAAAAUCUUUUUAUUAGAAAGCAUAUUUUUGACUUUGGUUUUCCAAUUUAGGAACUUAGAAGUCAGUCCAUUUUAUUGUUAAAAUACAAGAUUCAUAUAUGAAGUUCCUAAAUCCAUUUUCUUUGAGCAGGCAUAUGGGCAACAAAGUUACGGAACCUAUGGACAGCCCACUGAUGUCAGCUAUACCCAGGCUCAGACCACUGCAACCUAUGGGCAGACCGCCUAUGCAACUUCUUAUGGACAGCCUCCCACUGGAUAUUCUACUCCAGCUGCCCCCCAGGCAUACAGUCAGCCUGUCCAGGGGUACGGCACUGGUGCUUAUGAUACCACCACUGCUACAGUCACUACCACCCAGGCCUCCUAUGCAGCUCAGUCUGCAUAUGGCACUCAGCCUGCUUAUCCAGCCUAUGGGCAGCAGCCAGCAGCCACCGCGCCUGCAAGACCACAGGAUGGUAACAAACCCGCUGAGACUAGUCAACCUCAAUCUAGCACAGGGGGUUACAACCAGCCCAGCCUAGGAUAUGGACAGAGUAACUACAGUUAUCCCCAGGUACCUGGGAGCUACCCCAUGCAGCCAGUCACGGCACCACCAUCCUAUCCUCCUACCAGGUCAGUCUUCUCAUUCUUGUUCUUGUGGCCAGUGAGCUAGUAGAAUAACAAAACAGAUUUUUUUCAGGCUGACCAGCUUGCUUCUGCU